GUAGUAAUACGAUGGAUCGGUACCGAUCGCGGUUUAAUAGGGAAUCCGGAAUGAGCCGGAGCUGUCCCCGCAACUGUGAACGCGGACGACCGCCGGGAUUGCCACUGUGGUGAAAACCAUGGGAAGGCCGGCGGAAGGAUGAUGCGCAGCCAGUAGACCUGCCGGCCGUCGUGCAGCGAC
Molecule: non-coding RNA, 180 nt
Filed under: Edaphobacillus lindanitolerans
Lineage: Bacteria; Bacillati; Bacillota; Bacilli; Caryophanales; Bacillaceae
Source: RNAcentral